RNAcentral lists this ribosomal RNA (336 nucleotides) under Triticum aestivum (bread wheat). RNAcentral describes it as "partial small subunit ribosomal RNA". The record is from RNAcentral. Lineage: Eukaryota; Viridiplantae; Streptophyta; Magnoliopsida; Poales; Poaceae.
AUGGAUGCCUCUGUGGAUGAGUCGUCAUCUUCCUCUCAGCCUACUUAUGGCUUGCGUUCUCGUCCUCUUCCGCCUGUUGAUCGCUUUGGAUUUCCCACUGUUGGUGCUGCUGUUCUUGAGCCGACUUCUUACCGUCAGGCUGUUGUUCAUCCUGAAUGGCAGUUUGCGAUGGCAGAGGAGAUUGCUGCUCUUGAACGCACUGGUACUUGGGAUCUUGUUUCUCUUCCUCCCGGAGUCCGUCCCAUCACUUGUAAGUGGGUCUACAAGGUUAAGACUCGCUCCAAUGGUUCUCUUGAGCGUCAUAAAGCUCGUCUUGUGGCUCGUGGUUUUCAGUAG